UUUUGACUAAUGAAUGCAAUUAAUUUCGAUCGAUGGGUCAAUUUUGUAUUUUGCUCUAAAUUUUUAGCGCUGGUUCCGAAUUACAUCAAAGGUUCAGUCCAACACAUUCCAAGUAUAAAUGACAUCAGGUAGCCACUGUAAAAGGCUGUUAUUUAGGAAUAAGCCAAUGCAUUAUGAAUUAGUUUUUCAGUUCAAAUCGUCAGGACAGAAUCGUCAUGAAGUUAAGAUUUUUAAUUUAAAAUUUCAGGAGAAAAUAAGCACGAAUUAAUCUCUAAAUAGCAUCCCUAGGAAUGGGUAUUUGUGCACUUGCCCCCCAUUCCAAAGAGGAGUCCAGUCCAAUUGUCCAUCCUUUUUUCUUUUCUUUUUCCUGGAGUAUAAACCUUUUUAUUUUUUCUUUUUAUUCCAAAUCUUUUUGUGGAAAUACAAAGAAAAACGGAGGGGAAAACGGAGAAGGAAAACAAGAGUGUGAAGAAGAAAGCAUGCGAUGUGGAGGCUCUGAAGAAAUGUUUGGAAGAAAAUAAAGGCGACUAUUUGAAAUGCCAGUCUCAUAUUGAAGCUUUUAAGUCAUCUUGCUCUAUCAACAACCCUAAUUCUUCUUCGGAAUAUCCCCCAAAGCUCAGCUCCGUUGUAGAGGACCUCAGAUAAGCAACUCGAAUGAAGAUUGGAAGACCGAAGCCCUAUCUUCUGCUGUUAGCAGUAAUAAAGCCAAAAAGAAGAUUCAAGUUCAAGUCACUGCAUUUUUUGUAACAUUGCACAACUAGUCUAUAGUCUUCUAAUCUAUGUAAUUUCUUCGGCUUUAACCUGAACAUGUGAUUCCAGAAAUAUGUGCUUUUUGGUAAGUAGAAAGAGAAGAAAAUAAUGAGGAAAGCAAGUGGUGUUGGAUGGGCGCCCAAUUACAGAUUUUGCAUGCCUUUAGCAUGUUAUUGUCUUACUUGUCAUAUGUGAAGUGUCAUUUACAAAAGCAUAUUUGUCUAUUAA
Long non-coding RNA from Nicotiana tabacum (common tobacco), 978 nucleotides. RefSeq lists it as uncharacterized. The record is from RefSeq and is a predicted model, not a curated record. NCBI's taxonomy places the organism in Eukaryota, Viridiplantae, Streptophyta, Magnoliopsida, Solanales, Solanaceae.